This 301-nucleotide long non-coding RNA is filed under the name Phoenix dactylifera (date palm). Its description in RNAcentral is "long non-coding RNA (PDAC_LNC001045)". Lineage: Eukaryota; Viridiplantae; Streptophyta; Magnoliopsida; Arecales; Arecaceae. The record is from RNAcentral.
CGGGAAGCACAGAUACAAUUGAGGACAUCAUCCUCUUCGUCUUCUUUAUCUUAUCCAAAUGUUCUUGCUGUCUUCUCCAGAUACUCUCUUCCCUGCUCUCUCCACAUACUUGCCCCCUCUGACUUAGGCAUCGGAGGGCCGGCGCCGGGGAGCCCGGCCACCGGUUUUCCUUGCAGGACUUGCACACCCCCCCGCAGCGGAGGGCGCAGCCGGCCGGCGCACCGCCGUCCGCCCCCUGUAGCAGCGGAGCUCCUCCUUCCCCGGCUUCGCGGCGGCCCCCGGGUCCAAUUUCCAGCAACAA